RNAcentral lists this ribosomal RNA (274 nucleotides) under uncultured bacterium. RNAcentral's name for it is "partial 16S ribosomal RNA". It matches the Rfam family "Bacterial small subunit ribosomal RNA", at positions 523 to 796 of the family's 1533-position model. The record is from RNAcentral.
AUACGGGGGGUGAAAGCGUUGUCCGGAAUCAUUGGGCGUAAAGGGUUCGUAGGUGGAAUUAUAAGUCUGGUGUGAAAGCCCACAGCUCAACUGUGGAACUGCACUGGAUACUGUUUUUCUUGAGUUAUAGAGGGGUUUGUGGAAUUUCUGGUGUAGAGGUGAAAUUUGUAGAGAUCAGAAAGAACACCGGUGGCGAAGGCGACAAACUGGCUAUUAACUGACACUGAGGAACGAAAGCGUGGGGAGCGAACAGGAUUAGAAACCCUAGUAGUCC